UUUUGCCUACGGGAGGCAGCCGUCGGGCCUUUUCGGCCCUGGGGGGAACCCUGACCGAGCAACGCCGCGUGAAGGAAGGAGGAAUUCGUUCUGUAAACUUCUGUUAUAAAGGAAGAAAGACGGAUGGAGGAAAUGACAUCCGAGUGACGGUACUCUAUGAGAAAGCCACGGCUAACUACGUGCCAGCAGCCGCGGUAAUACGUAGGUGGCAAGCGUUAUCCGGAAUUAUUGGGCGUAAAGAGGGAGCAGGCGGCAGCAAAGGUCUGUGGUGAAAGACUGAAGCUUAACUUCAGUAAGCCAUAGAA
Molecule: ribosomal RNA, 305 nt
Filed under: uncultured bacterium
Lineage: Bacteria
Description: bacterial SSU rRNA
Rfam family: Bacterial small subunit ribosomal RNA
Source: RNAcentral